RNAcentral lists this microRNA (23 nucleotides) under Schmidtea mediterranea. Its description in RNAcentral is "sme-miR-2172-3p". Lineage: Eukaryota; Metazoa; Platyhelminthes; Tricladida; Dugesiidae. The record is from miRBase by way of RNAcentral.
UACAUGUAUAGUAUUAUUUGCCU